CUUGUCAAACUGGAUGGAUGAGUAUAUCCUGCUCAUAUACAUGUCAAGGGAGCACGCCUGAAAACAACAAUACACUUAUAAUAAUAAUAAUAAUAUUAGUGUAUUGCUGAGCUGUGUAUCCGCUGGUAACUUGUGGAUCCAACGUGCAGCUUUGAUCUAACGUUAACGUUCCCAGGUAUGUGAUCGUGUUAACAAGCUGGCCGUGUAAACCUGGUUUUCUAAGCGCGUGUAACAUUGUUUAAACCACCGAAUAACCUUUUUAACACUACGCCACGAUUGAAAAGAUCCAGGUAACUGGCCAGCUAAGAGGCUAACUGGUUUCCGCCAUUGUUUUUGGUGAUAAAGACGGGGGAUGGGUGGAACUGCAGCCACCAGCACCACCAAGCUUAACGCUAGCAUAGCUGCAAGCCAGCUAGCUAGCACGCAGAACUCAUACUGUAGAUUGGGUCCCCCAUCUCCUACAUUGGAACAACCAAAGGACCUCUUUGCACUCAGUGUGGCCAGGAGGAACAAUUACAGUGACCAAUAACUCUUUCAAUGUAGCCUACACAUUGGCAUACGCCACAGUGAGGCCAUUAGCGGACGACUUACACAGGCAGACGAGAAGGAAUCCUGAACAUCAUUUGAAUGCAUCUCCAAGAAAGAUGAUCGUUUAUCAUCCACUGCAGAUCAAGACUUGUUUCACAGCUGUGACACUGAUGCCCUUAGACUUCAUCUUAACCUUAAUGUCCUCUUGAGUCUGUUUAAAUGGAGUCUUCAUCAGAUAGACUAUCCUCCUGAAACCUUCCUCUAGUCCC
This is a long non-coding RNA of Etheostoma spectabile (orangethroat darter), 797 nucleotides long. RefSeq lists it as uncharacterized. The record is from RefSeq and is a predicted model, not a curated record. The transcript has 3 exons. NCBI's taxonomy places the organism in Eukaryota, Metazoa, Chordata, Actinopteri, Perciformes, Percidae.